UCACCACACCGUGAGGGAGAUCCUUUCUCUCAGACCCCAGGAGCACCACCAAGAAGGCCAAAGCCAGGAACAACCUCACCCAGCCCACAGCUCAAGAAACGCCUCAGUCUAUAUCCAGCCUUUCUGCACAAUACAUCUGCCCUCUCCCAUGGUAAACAGCCCCAAGGCACAGCAGGGAACAGGGAGAGAGAUACAUGAUUAAAAAUCCCAGAAAAGUACAAAGUGAAAGAGAAAAGGAAGGAGGAAGGGCACAAGGAGAACCCAGAGGAAGACAAGGGCUCAAAACUCACCUUGUUCCCAAUAAGAUGGAGCUGAAGGAGUGGAUGGGAGAGUGAGGAGAAGGUCCUGCUUUUAUACUACUCCUGCACCGCCCCAGGCCCGCAGUCACUGCAUACGGGCAGUAAUUUUCCUACAGACUCAUCUCCAAAGCAGACUGUCCUCCCAAAUGCCCCAGGUUGUGUUUGGGUUUCUGUCAACGCUGCCAUUUCAUUUCCUCAUUGCUGACAUGACCAUUAGGCCACAGAGGAUCUUUUGAAGUGUUGGGAUGAGAGGCCUGAGGCUUUCCUGAGCAUGAUCACAUCAGUGCAGGCAGAAGAUGUGCCCCCAUAUGCUGGAGAGGUCUGUGCAGGCAGAGCAUGUGGCUGUGGGGAAAUAAGUGGUGAGUGUUUUUACAAACCCCUGUGAGGAAACAUGGUCCUGGCUUCCUACCAAUGCAAUCCCCUCCAGAAGUCUUCCCUGCAUGUGGGCAUGCUGCAUCCCUCUCCCUCCCUGGUGCCUGCCUGCUCGGGCCACAAGUCACUGGGCAUUGCCUCUCUAGGCACGUUUGUUACAUUGCUGCUUUCAAAUGGCUUUGCCUAAGGAAAUCUUCUCCUUUGGUGAAGACAUUUCCUGGUUUAUUUGGCAGAGUUGUCUCCUCUCACUGCCAUCUCUGGGAUACCCCAACCAGUGCUGUCAGCAGACUGGUAGCAGAAGAUUGUUGCCCUCCCACUUGAAAUGUCCCCUGUGAUUCCUGAAGGAGCCCUUUUGGGCUGGGACUCACUGUCAUCUGUAUUAGAGGGGUCUGUCGGCUCUUGGGAUAGAACCAUAUUCCUCCCUCUCUCCUCACCCCACAAUGCAAUUUCCUGCACAUUUUGUACCAUAACCUGCAGGACACAAGCACAGGCCACUUUUUCAAUACAUAUUGUCAGUCCUGCAAGCAUCCCCAGGGCCAGGAUGGAGCUGCCCUUGCUGGAAGGGAAUUCAGGCCUUGGCCUGGCCUGCAGACACCACGCACCCCUGGCUUGGCCUCACACCAAAAGGCUGACACAAGGCCAACCCAAAAUUGGAGCGCGACUUGCCACUGCCACAUGCUCUGCCUGCACAGACCUCUCCAGCAUAUGGGGGCACAUCUUCUGCCUGCACUGAUGUGAUCAUGCUCAGGAAAGCCUCAGGCCUCUCAUCCCAACACUUCAAAAGAUCCUCUGUGGCCUAAUGGUCAUGUCAGCAAUGAGGAAAUGAAAUGGCAGCGUUGACAGAAACCCAAACACAACCUGGGGCAUUUGGGAGGACAGUCUGCUUUGGAGAUGAGUCUGUAGUAAAAUUACUGCCCGUAUGCAGUGACUGCGGGCCUGGGGCGGUGCAGGAGUAGUAUAAAAGCAGGACCUUCUCCUCACUCUCCCAUCCACUCCUUCAGCUCCAUCUUAUUGGGAACAAGGUGAGUUUUGAGCCCUUGUCUUCCUCUGGGUUCUCCUUGUGCCCUUCCUCCUUCCUUUUCUCUUUCACUUUGUACUUUUCUGGGAUUUUUAAUCAUGUAUCUCUCUCCCUGUUCCCUGCUGUGCCUUGGGGCUGUUUACCAUGGGAGAGGGCAGAUGUAUUGUGCAGAAAGGCUGGAUAUAGACUGAGGCGUUUCUUGAGCUGUGGGCUGGGUGAGGUUGUUCCUGGCUUUGGC
Molecule: long non-coding RNA, 1927 nt
Filed under: Cyanistes caeruleus (blue tit)
Lineage: Eukaryota; Metazoa; Chordata; Aves; Passeriformes; Paridae
Description: lncRNA (ENSCCEG00000002110.1)
Source: RNAcentral